Molecule: ribosomal RNA, 796 nt
Filed under: uncultured bacterium
Lineage: Bacteria
Description: bacterial SSU rRNA
Rfam family: Bacterial small subunit ribosomal RNA
Source: RNAcentral
GGGGAAUAUUGCACAAUGGGGGAAACCCUGAUGCAGCGACGCCGCGUGGAGGAAGAAGGUCUUCGGAUUGUAAACUCCUGUUGUUGGGGAAGAUAAUGACGGUACCCAACAAGGAAGUGACGGCUAACUACGUGCCAGCAGCCGCGGUAAAACGUAGGUCACAAGCGUUGUCCGGAAUUACUGGGUGUAAAGGGAGCGCAGGCGGGAAGACAAGUUGGAAGUGAAAUCUAUGGGCUCAACCCAUAAACUGCUUUCAAAACUGUUUUUCUUGAGUAGUGCAGAGGUAGGCGGAAUUCCCGGUGUAGCGGUGGAAUGCGUAGAUAUCGGGAGGAACACCAGUGGCGAAGGCGGCCUACUGGGCACCAACUGACGCUGAGGCUCGAAAGUGUGGGUAGCAAACAGGAUUAGAUACCCUGGUAGUCCACACCGUAAACGAUGAUUACUAGGUGUUGGAGGAUUGACCCCUUCAGUGCCGCAGUUAACACAAUAAGUAAUCCACCUGGGGAGUACGACCGCAAGGUUGAAACUCAAAGGAAUUGACGGGGGCCCGCACAAGCAGUGGAGUAUGUGGUUUAAUUCGACGCAACGCGAAGAACCUUACCAAGUCUUGACAUCCCUUGACGAUNCUGGAAACAGUAUUUCUCUUCGGAGCAAGGAGACAGGUGGUGCAUGGUUGUCGUCAGCUCGUGUCGUGAGAUGUUGGGUUAAGUCCCGCAACGAGCGCAACCCUUAUGGUCAGUUACUACGCAAGAGGACUCUGGCCAGACUGCCGUUGACAAAACGGAGGAAGGUGGGG